RNAcentral lists this ribosomal RNA (432 nucleotides) under uncultured bacterium. RNAcentral describes it as "partial 16S ribosomal RNA". It matches the Rfam family "Bacterial small subunit ribosomal RNA", at positions 29 to 506 of the family's 1533-position model. The record is from RNAcentral.
AGCGAACGCUGGCGGCAGGCCUAACACAUGCAAGUCGAACGAACUCUUCGGAGUUAGUGGCGGACGGGUGCGUAACACGUGGGAACGUGCCUUUUGGUUCGGAAUAACUCAGGGAAACUUGUGCUAAUACCGAAUGUGCCCUUCGGGGGAAAGAUUUAUCGCCAUUAGAGCGGCCCGCGUCUGAUUAGCUAGUUGGUGAGGUAACGGCUCACCAAGGCGACGAUCAGUAGCUGGUCUGAGAGGAUGACCAGCCACACUGGGACUGAGACACGGCCCAGACUCCUACGGGAGGCAGCAGUGGGGAAUCUUGCGCAAUGGGCGAAAGCCUGACGCAGCCAUGCCGCGUGAAUGAUGAAGGUCUUAGGAUUGUAAAAUUCUUUCACCGGGGACGAUAAUGACGGUACCCGGAGAAGAAGCCCCGGCUAACUUCGU